This 3115-nucleotide long non-coding RNA is filed under the name Mytilus galloprovincialis (Mediterranean mussel). The record is from RNAcentral. Lineage: Eukaryota; Metazoa; Mollusca; Bivalvia; Mytilida; Mytilidae.
AUUUAAAAUUUUGAACGACAUAUAUUGACAUAUUUAAAAAUAAUAUAUAUGUCCAAUGUUACUUUUCAAUUCUGUUUGCAUAUUUAUUUUUUUUUUUUUUAUUUGAUUGUUACCUUGGUUGUUGCCAAGUUAAACGUUAUCUUAUAUUCUACAAGUUGUAAAACGUCUUUGAGAACAUAAGAUAGAAACCAAUUGUGAUUUUGUAACAUGUAAUAUAAUGAUCGUUGUUUUAGGGGACAAUUAAUUGAAUAUGUAAUUUUAGCCCGAAUGUCCUUCUAAAAUAAUGAUUUAAGUAUACUAUAUGUAAUAUAUUAUGUUUUAAUUAUAAAUCUACGAAAACGCAGUUAUUGAAAAAAGUAUACAUUUAUAAUCUGUAGAAAUGAAAUAAUCAUUUGCCUUUAGUUACCUCUCUUCAAUCAAUUGAAAAAACUGUACUUUUAUUUUUCGAAAUACACAAGAUUUUUUACCUAAGAAAAAGAUUACCUUUGCUGUAUUUGACAGAACAAUUUGGAUUUUCAGGUCCUCAAUGCCCCUCGAUUUCGUAUCUUUUUUGGUUUAUCUAACAGUUUUGAUUAGAGCAUCACUGAUGUGUCUUUUGUAAACACGCGUACAUGGAUACAAAAUAUAAUCUUGGUUUCUAUAAUGAGUUAAUAUAGGCCUGUAAUAGGUUUCAAACUAAGUUUACCGUUGCAAUACUAGAGCAACUAGAAUUUGUUCGUAAUUUCUAGUAUCACGGUUUAAAAAAAUGUAUUACCCAAUGCUUUUAAUAAUUUAAGGGGAAAAACAAAUACAAUAAUCUUGACUGUAGGGAUGGUAGAAAAAUAUCUCCUGCUUAAAUAAAGGCAACAGUAGUAUAUCGCUGUUCAAAACUCAUAAAUCCAUGGACAAAAAACAAAAUCGGGGUAACAAACUAAAACCGAGGGAAACGCAUUAAAUAUAAGAGGAGAACAACGACACAACACUAAAAUGUAACACACAGAGAAACGGACCAAGCAUCAGACAAAACUUCCGAAUUCCAGAACAUGAUUUUAAUUUACAAUAAUCUUACAAGAAUCAUGUUAUAUAACUCGUGAAUGACCAGUGCAUGCAUUUCAUAAUCUGAUACAUUUAGUAGUACACGGUUGUCACAUCUCUAUAGAACGGGUACUAAUCUUGUUCACAUCUCGAAUUAAACAAACUCGAACACAUGCACGUCAUUACUGUCGUUUCACGUUACAAGGUUUCAAUGGUUGAAUUUGUAUGGUUUUUGUAUAAGAAGUAUAUUUUUUAAAAGCCUCAUAUUUUAAGCUUAACAUUUUGUUUAAGUUAAAAAAAAUAUAUACAAAGGGUCGAAACUUCCUACUGCAUUAUUCAUCUGAAUUGUUUUCUGUUUGAAUAGUCGUUUGAUAUCGACUUCAGACAUUUCCGAUAUCCACGUCUGUUACGGCAAGUUUAAGACAAUAAACAUUGAAACUUCUUUAUUGCAACAUGGUUUAUAAGGAUAUGUUUUCAUUCGGAUGAGAUUAAUAUUAGAACUGUUGAUAUGGUUGCCGCUUAUUAAUGUAGAACGAUCCAAUGCUCUUUUUUUUAAUUUCGCUAUAAGAAAUUAGCGUUGAAAAAAGUGAAAUUCUAUAUGAAAUGGAAAAGUCUUACUUAUAAUGACAAUUAAGAUAACAAAUUAAAAAAUAAAACUUAAGUAAGCAUAUGCAAAUCUUUUGUUUCAUAUAUUGUGUUUUGAGUACUGUGGUUUGUAUUUUUGUCGUUUUUCAUUUAUUUUAUAACAUCGUCUUUUUGUUUUUGCUUUAUUAUUUUGAAUAUCCUUUUGAUUUUUUUGCCUCUCUUUUGCAAAGUUAAAAAGAGGGGAAAAGUGUUGUGAGCAAUAAAUUUUCGAAUGAUACCGGUGAACAUAAUUCAUUAAAAAAACACCCAUUAUAUCAUUGUAUUUUACUAUCAUCAUCAUUUUGAAGUGAACUAUACUAUCCGUCCUUAUUCAAAUGAAACGCCAAAUGUUGGAAUGUAUUUGUAGACAUAAAUGUGAGAUUGUUGGGUGUAGUAAAGGAAAACGAGUCACACAAAAUGAACUGGCGCUUCCAAUAACAGUAUUUUUUUGCUAACUUGGGCCAAGUGACCUUUUCUCAUCAUUGGCGUCCGGCGUCCGUUGUCGUCGUCGUCCAUCGUUGUUAACUCUUACUAAAAUCUUCUCCUCUGAAACUACUUGGCCAAAGUUAACCAAACUUGGCCACAAUCAUCAUUGGGGUGUCCUAUGACUUGGCCAAACAACCAAGAUGACUGCCAUGGCUAAAAAAAAAGAACAUAUGGGUAAAUGCAGUUUUUGGCUUUUACCUCUGUAACUAAAGCGUUUAGAGCAAUCUGACAAAAUAAAAUGUUUAUCAGGUUGAAAUCUAUCUGCCCUGAAAUUUUCAGAUGAAACAAACAACCCGUUCCUGGGUUGCUACACUUGAAUAAGUAUUUUUAAGGAAAUUUUGCCGUUUUUUGUUAUUAUCUUGAGUAAUAUUAUAACGUGUGAAAAACUGUAAACAGCAAUAAUGUUCAGCAAAGUAUAAUCUACAAAUAAGUCAACAGGACCAAAAUUGUCAUUAUUGCUCUUUAUAGUCAAUUUUAACAAUUUUUCGUAAUUUUUGGUGAUAUUUUACAAUCUUCUCCUCUGAAACUACUAAGACAAAUUUAACGAAACUUGGCCACAAUCAUCAUUAUGGUAUCUUGUUUAAAAUGUUUCAGAUGACCUCGCCUGCGAACCAAGAUGGCUGACAUGGCUAAAAAUUGAACAAAGGGGUAAAAUGCAGUUGUGGCUGAUAUCUCUGAAACCAAAGCAUGUAGAGCAAAUUUGACGAAAUUGUUCAUUAUGUAAAGAUCUAUCUGUGUCCUUUGUUUGAUAUGCACAUAAACCAUGGAGAGCGACACAGGCUCUUUAGAACCUCUAGUUCAUGUUUUUCGUCAUAAAAGUCAUUUUGUUCUAAAUCGAAAAAGUUUUAUUUGUCUUAUUUCAUACAUGUGUUAUUUUGCCCAUAUGUUAUAUUAUAUGUGUUUUGUCAAUUAAAAUGAAACGUUUGAAGCACAUUAGUUUUGUUAGAAAUCCUUAUAAUUACACUGUAAAAUAUUAUGAUAACAUAAUAAU